AGUUUGAUCCUGGCUCAGAACGAACGCUGGCGGCAUGCCUAACACAUGCAAGUCGAACGAGACCUUCGGGUCUAGUGGCGCACGGGUGCGUAACGCGUGGGAACCUGCCUUUAGGUUCGGAAUAACUCAGAGAAAUUUGAGCUAAUACCGGAUAAUGUCUUCGGACCAAAGAUUUAUCGCCUUUAGAUGGGCCCGCGUAAGAUUAGCUAGUUGGUGGGGUAAAGGCCUACCAAGGCGACGAUCUUUAGCUGGUCUGAGAGGAUGAUCAGCCACACUGGGACUGAGACACGGCCCAGACUCCUACGGGAGGCAGCAGUGGGGAAUAUUGGACAAUGGGCGAAAGCCUGAUCCAGCAAUGCCGCGUGAGUGAUGAAGGCCUUAGGGUUGUAAAGCUCUUUACCCGAGAUGAUAAUGACAGUAUCGGGAGAAUAAGCUCCGGCUAACUCCGUG
This 450-nucleotide ribosomal RNA is filed under the name uncultured bacterium. Its description in RNAcentral is "bacterial SSU rRNA". It matches the Rfam family "Bacterial small subunit ribosomal RNA", at positions 10 to 507 of the family's 1533-position model. The record is from RNAcentral.